RNAcentral lists this small nucleolar RNA (107 nucleotides) under Erinaceus europaeus (western European hedgehog). RNAcentral's name for it is "Small nucleolar RNA SNORA63 (ENSEEUG00000023227.1)". The record is from RNAcentral. Lineage: Eukaryota; Metazoa; Chordata; Mammalia; Eulipotyphla; Erinaceidae.
AAGCAAGAUUUAGACAAAAGUAUGACUAACUGCUGUGUUGUUCUCCCUACUCAAAAUAAAAUUGCUCCUUUACUAUGUGGCAUCCAGGAAAGCUUGGUUUCAAAUAU